CUCUCUCUCUCUCUCUCUCUCACUGAAAACUAGAAUUGUGUUUAGAUGUACUACAACUGCAUGCAUCAACUAAUGGUUUCAAAGGGGAAGGUUGGUUUUUCUGGUGCUUGGGUUUGACCAACACUAAUUUGUUGUUACUUUUAUAGUUUUGAGUUUCAUGUCUGUUCACUCAUUAUCAUAUGGCAGCUUUUCGUGAAGUUUAAAUAAAUGCCAUUGUAUUUGAUCAUUGGCGGACUGACACUUUCAAAUCUGUGCUGCAAUUUUUGUCCUCUCAAUUGCUUAUUUAUGUGCUUUUAACAUGCCAGAAA
Molecule: unclassified non-coding RNA, 308 nt
Filed under: Hevea brasiliensis (rubber tree)
Lineage: Eukaryota; Viridiplantae; Streptophyta; Magnoliopsida; Malpighiales; Euphorbiaceae
Source: RNAcentral